ACCCUUGUCCUCAUGGAUUCUAGUCAGUUUUGUUACCGCUGAACCAUGAAGGGAACUCCAAAAUUACAAAGGUUUUAAGAGCUCUGUGCCAGGAACUGGGAGCAGAGGCAAUACUCUCAUUUUCUAUUAUCUCAUACUCAGGACUUCCCUUUCUGCUUCAUCCACACAAGUGAGGAGCAAAGAAAAGGCCUGGCCCCUCCACCAUCAGCAAGCCUUCUCUCUGCUGCCAGGCCCCAACUCCACUCCCCAUGUAUUAUUUCUAGUCCUCAUCCCAGCUCUGCCAUUCGCCAGCUGUGUGACUCUGGCAUCAUCAUGUAGGCGGCCUGUGGAAAAAAGCAGACUCCCAGGUUCCUUUGCGCGUGUGGAGCGGAAGGAGGGCUCAUAUUUUUAGAAGCACUUCCUGCUAGUCUGACGCUGGCGGUCUGUGAUCCGCAGCUAGAGCCUCCUUAUUCUGCAGCCUGGAUGGUGAGUAAGACACAGCCCUGCCCUCAAACAACUUACUCUUCAGUGAAACAGAGGGGCAUCAGGAUAAAACGUACCACCUCUUGAAGCCUUUCUCUGCCAUUAAUACACACACGGGGUUUCCCGAAGUGAUGCUUGCUGGGAGCAGAGAACACAAAAGGGCUACGCUUUGAGGAGGAGCUAAGGUAGGAGAGAUUUGGGGACAGAGAAGAGAAAGCCAGCAAGGAAGAUCUGGGUUCCGCCGAGCAACAAAGAAGUUGCUGAGAUCCUGGGGAAAGCCUCUUACAAGCGGGUGAGAGGGCUCAAAUCUUCAGAUUUUUCCCAGAUGCUCUGCCUGGGGGGACAAAGUCUGCGGUCAUGGGGAGUCCGAUAAAUAGAAGGGGACUUGGAGAGAGGAGCACUCUGGGUGCGGUCCCAUUCCCUUCAGAUCUUCUCACCAGCUCCACGUCCACCCCCAGCCGCUUGUGUUCACUCCUAGAGGGUCCUGCCAACAACUGUCCGCAGAGGGUCAAACAAGGGUUAUAGGAACUGCCUCACCCAGGGGCACCAAGAACUGAAAGUGCCUGUGAGUUUAUGGCCCCUGGAGCAGGGGAGCCAGUGACUGAUGGGUGCAGGGUGUGAAAGAACCAUUCCUUUGUCUCGAGAGGGGCUACAAAUUAUACUCCUGAGCUCCCCGCAGGGUCAGGCUGAGGCUGAAAUCAAACACUGGCUUCUCCCAACCUUUUCUGCUUUCUCCAUCUCCUUAUGGAAGUGGGACUGUUUCCUUGAUAAAACACUUGAUCUAAGACAGCAGAGAGUUCAAGCACCAAAGCAACCCACACUCUGGCUCACAGUUCAUCAUGGAGAAGGGACAAAAUGAGGGGUGAUGGGAAAAGUUGAGGCUCUUUCUGUGGCAACCUGGAGAAGCAUUUGUCUCCCUUGCCCAGCCUGGACCCUCAAUCCUGCCUGGCCUGGCUUCUCUAGAAAGGGCAUUAUUCGUGUCCAAGGAGAGGAGGCACCAGGCUUCAGUCUGCCCUGAAUUUUAGGAAACUGACGGAAACUUGCUAUCAAUUCCAGGCAAAGUCAAAGGUGUAAAUAUGGAGCCCAAACUUGGGACAAAUAACUCUAAAACUCACACAGAGAGGACUCACCCUUUUUAGGAAGCCUAGAAAGCUGUCUAGACAGUUCAGGAUGUGCUGAGACCAGCAUCAGAGACUUGGCUAAAAGAUCAGACUUUCCAUCCCAUCUUUGCUCAGCCUGCCCUCUGCUGGAAUGACGUGUGAACAGCAGCUAGUUCAGACGAACGCAGCCAAAACCAGGAGGCCUCCUGAAUCCCUCUCAUCCUUCAGAGGCCAACUUAAAUGUCACCUCCUCCAGGAAGACUCCCCUGAUUCUAGCAGUUGGAAGCAAGUUCUUUUAAUGUGAGCCUUUACAGCCCCUCAUUUACACUUCUCCAAUGGUGCCGUCUACCUUAUGUCAUGGUUGUAUGGUACAUAUGUUAUCUCCCUGACUCAUUUGUGAGCUCCCAAGGGAGAAAGAUUUCCUUUUUAGUUUUGUGUUUUGAAAAUUUUCUCCCAAGGAUUUUGCACCUGCCCAGAAAUGUGUCCUACAAUUAAGCCCUAAAUUUACAUCAUUAAAAGGAAUCCUCUGAAUUCAGAUGCAUCUUCAAAAAGGCCCAAUUAAAAUGCAAUAUAUACACACUACCGUAUACAAGAUAAGUAACCAACAAAGACCUACUGUACAGCACAGGGAACUCUACUCCGUAUCUUGUAAUAAGCCAUAUGGGAAAAGAAUCUGAAAAAGAAUAGAUGUAUGGGAGUUUCUCUAUGGUGCAACAGGAUUAGCAGUCUCUGGAGCCCUGGGACACAGGUUCGAUCCUUGGCCCGGCACAGUGGGUUAAGGAUCUGGCUUUGCCCCAGCUGUGGCUUAGGUCACAACUGUGGCUCAGAUCUGAACCCCAGCCCGUGAACACCAAAUGCCUUGGGACAGCCAAAAAAGAUACACACAAAAAAAUAGAUAUGUGCAUACUGAAUCACUUUGUUGUACACCUGAAACUAACACAUGGUAGAGAAAAAAAUUAUACUCCAAUAUAAAAUAAAAAAUAACCCCCCCAAAAGUAAAUAUGAAAAGAUGUAAUCAUCUGGCCUGGACUGUAAGUUAUUAACUCCUUAAAGGCAUUAGCACAUCAGCUGUGCCCAGAGCUUGGAGCCAUAGUGUUAUGGGAAAAUGUAGGUGGCGAAGAAAGAUGAUAAAAGAGGUAAGGAAUGAAGGAGAAGUUGAGGAUGAGGUACUUAUGAGGUUGGCUGGGGAGGUUCAGGAGGGGUUGAGGCAUUGGAGGGGGCAGAGGGGGCAAAGGACACACCCUGAGCCAGAGGUUCCAGAAGGAAAGGUGUGGGACACAUGUUGAAGGAGUCAUUGGAUCUUGUAGGAUCCAAAAAGAAAGUAUUGGCUCCAAAGACAAAAAGAAAACAGGAAAAAAAAUUAAUAUAUACUUAAUUGUCAGUAAAUCACAAUGUCAUAUCAACUGGACUCAUUGUUAAAUUUAGCCUUUAUAAAUACUCAUUCCAUUUGCGAAGAAUUUGGGGGUUAGGUUUUCUCACUUCCUAAGAAUUCCUGAGGAGAGACAGUGACUCCUGACAAAUCGUAGCCAACUGCAAAUUAAAUAUUACUCAUCGCCAAAUAGUUUCUAAAGCAGAAUUAGAAAACUCCAUUCAAAUUUUCAGGGCAAAAUUAUAUUUAGUAUAGGAUGUGAGUGAUUUUAAUAUACUUGAUAUAAUGAAAGUAGGACUCUCUGGGGCUUACGAAGGUUUUAAAUGGCCCUGAGUAUCAAAGAUCAAUUUCAUCCAUCCCCUUUAAUUUCACUCUUGGUGACAUCACACCUUCUGCAAACAAGCUGCUUCCUUUUCCGAAAUGCAACUUGCAUUGACCUUCUUGCGCACAUGCAAGGGCUAGUCUUUUAGAAUUAAUUGACUAAGGGCUUGGAAUAGAUAACUGGAAAUGUUUCCUGUUCCCAAGAGAUGCUCCAGAGGGAAACCAGUGUUAUUCAUUCCAUACAUGUAUCUUCCAAGCACCCUCUGCCUUUACAAGCGAAAACUGAAGGCAUGCUUUCCAGCUGUACCCUUGACAUAGUGUGUAUAUGUUAUUAACAUCAUUCACACCGUCAUGAUCCCAGUCCUUUCUUCUUAACAAUUGAACCCCCCCCACCCCUCCUUUUUUAUGGGCUGCACCCACGGCAUAUGGGAUCUCCCAGGCUAGGGGUCGAAUCUGAGCUGCAGCUGCCAGCCUACGCCACAGCUACGGCAACACUACAUUUGAGCCAAGUCUUUAACCUACCACAGCUCAUGGCAACGCCAGAUCCUUAACCCACUGAACGAGGCUAAGGAUCGAACCCACAUCCUCAUGGAUACUAGUCAGAAUUGGUACCACUGUGCCACAACGGGAACUCCUUGAAUGCCCUUUUAAAAAGAAAACCCUAAUUAUGAGGAACUUACUAGUAACCCUCCCCCCAAAAUGGUGAUAAGGGGAAGAAACAGCCCUUUUGGAGGUAGAAGCAGUUUGUAUCUAGUCAGAAAACACAAAGCUGCAGAAUGCAGUUAAAGAGAACUCCUAAGUCAUUUUAUGCAGAAACACUUUGGGCAUGGGUAGAGAAUGCCAAAGUCAGGG
Molecule: non-coding RNA, 4104 nt
Organism: Sus scrofa (pig)
Lineage: Eukaryota; Metazoa; Chordata; Mammalia; Artiodactyla; Suidae
Source: RefSeq, a predicted model, not a curated record